AUUGGUGACUGUACAAUGCUGGAAACACCAAUUCCCGUCUGGUCAUCGUAGUUAACUAUUGUUGGGGUCGGUUAGUAAUUUCAUAGAUGACAAGCUGUAAAUACAAAAUGCUAUCAGCC
Schistosoma curassoni is the source of this 119-nucleotide non-coding RNA. The record is from Rfam. Lineage: Eukaryota; Metazoa; Platyhelminthes; Trematoda; Strigeidida; Schistosomatidae.